RNAcentral lists this ribosomal RNA (450 nucleotides) under uncultured bacterium. Its description in RNAcentral is "partial 16S ribosomal RNA". It matches the Rfam family "Bacterial small subunit ribosomal RNA", at positions 354 to 796 of the family's 1533-position model. The record is from RNAcentral.
GUGGGGAAUAUUGGACAAUGGGCGCAAGCCUGAUCCAGCCAUACCGCGGGGGUGAAGAAGGCCUUCGGGUUGUAAAGCCCUUUUGUUGGGAAAGAAAUCCUGUCGAUUAAUACUCGGUGGGGAUGACGGUACCCAAAGAAUAAGCACCGGCUAACUUCGUGCCGGCAGCCGCGGUAAUACGAAGGGUGCAAGCGUUACUCGGAAUUACUGGGCGUAACGCGUGCGUAGGCGGUGGUUUAAGUCUGCUGUGAAAGCCCUGGGCUCAACCUGGGAAUUGCAGUGGAUACUGGAUCACUAGAGUGUGGUAGAGGGAUGCGGAAUUUCUGGUGUAGCAGUGAAAUGCGUAGAGAUCAGAAGGAACAUCCGUGGCGAAGGCGGCAUCCUGGGCCAACACUGACACUGAGGCACGAAAGCGUGGGGAGCAAACAGGAUUAGAAACCCGAGUAGUCC